Phyllostomus hastatus (greater spear-nosed bat) is the source of this 1282-nucleotide long non-coding RNA. RefSeq lists it as uncharacterized. NCBI's taxonomy places the organism in Eukaryota, Metazoa, Chordata, Mammalia, Chiroptera, Phyllostomidae. The record is from RefSeq and is a predicted model, not a curated record. The transcript is spliced from 4 exons.
UCGGAGUAAAGACAGUGGGGUCUGGAAUGGGGUGAAAAGCAGGCUGCGGCUGCCGGGAAGGCUGACCACCGAGAGCUGGACGUUGCUAUCUGACCCCUGCCCCGGAAGGCCUCAUCCAGGCGUGCGGAUGGGAAGCACGAGAGGCCUCAGACUGCAAGGCUCAGCGACCCACAGGCCGUGGUGGAGGCAGGGCCCUGGGGCGGGGACGCUGGAGCCACUUUGAUUUCCAGCGGGAGAGCCGCGCUCUGAGAGACCCCAGGAGAUGGCGCUGUCCUGUGUCGGGGAUCAGAGGGCUCCAGGGACCUGCUGGCCGCCUGCCUGACUGUCUCUGCGGCAUGGGCUGUGCUCUGAGCAGAACACGCAUGCCCUUCUCCCUGCCUGGUCUCCUCCAUUCCGAUGCACGUCUCCUCGAAUCCCGCCCUUUCCUUCACGCUCAGCAACAAAUCCGUCCUGGAGAGCAGGCCGGCAAGAAAGCAGCUGAGAAACCAGCUUGGUGAUGACAGCUCAGCUGUGUGCUUACAUCAUUUUCACAACGUAAUGGCUUCAAAAGGCCUUUCGUAACAUCGUUAAGAAGACACAAUUAGCGAAGCCUGGAAACGAUCACAUCAAAACAGAACUGCGGCAGCAACAGCUAGCCUUUGUCGCUCCGUUACGGUGUCGUAAGAACUGCUCCGCUGGCCUGUAGGAGCGAACCCAUCUACUCCUCCCACCAGCACUAAGCAGUUACUACUACUGUGAGCCCGCUUUUGAAAUGGAGGACACCGAGGCACAGAGAGCUGCCUUGUGAAGACGCAGAGAUCAUAAAUGGCAGAACAAGAAUUCGAACCCGCGUCGUCUGGGUCCAGAGCCACGUUCUGGACCGCUGCAGUGGAGUAAGGGAAAUGCAUGGGAAGGCAGACGACAGAGAGAGGUCUUUUCAGAAAGGUUCGGUUUCCCAUCGCGGCUGUAAUGCGCACGGGAAAGGCGCAGACCAGAGAGACCCAGGUACAAGCAGCUGGUCGUGCUCCUUAUGACUAAGCCAGGCCGUAGGACAACCUGCAGUGUUUCUACAGAGUGCGGCUGGGCAGGGCUCGUGAGACUGGGAGAGACUGUCAGUCACGUCAGCGCCGACUUCUCAGGGCCGCCUUGGGGUCACCAUGGCGCGGGCUUUCGGAACAGGAAAGCACAGGCAUCGUUGCAAAAGACGUGACUCUCACCCACAAAGUAAUCAGAGCAGAUGGCAAACGAUAAAAUCUUAAGCGACGUGGCUCGGACAAUAAAUGCGAGUACGGAAUAGCAAGUG